Molecule: ribosomal RNA, 453 nt
Filed under: Klebsiella pneumoniae
Lineage: Bacteria; Pseudomonadati; Pseudomonadota; Gammaproteobacteria; Enterobacterales; Enterobacteriaceae
Description: partial 23S ribosomal RNA
Rfam family: Bacterial large subunit ribosomal RNA
Source: RNAcentral
GUGCAAUGGCAUAAGCUAGCUUGACUGCGAGCGUGACGGCGCGAGCAGGUGCGAAAGCAGGUCAUAGUGAUCCGGUGGUUCUGAAUGGAAGGGCCAUCGCUCAACGGAUAAAAGGUACUCCGGGGAUAACAGGCUGAUACCGCCCAAGAGUUCAUAUCGACGGCGGUGUUUGGCACCUCGAUGUCGGCUCAUCACAUCCUGGGGCUGAAGUAGGUCCCAAGGGUAUGGCUGUUCGCCAUUUAAAGUGGUACGCGAGCUGGGUUUAGAACGUCGUGAGACAGUUCGGUCCCUAUCUGCCGUGGGCGCUGGAGAAUUGAGGGGGGCUGCUCCUAGUACGAGAGGACCGGAGUGGACGCAUCACUGGUGUUCGGGUUGUCAUGCCAAUGGCACUGCCCGGUAGCUAAAUGCGGAAGAGAUAAGUGCUGAAAGCAUCUAAGCACGAAACUUGCCCCG